AUACGGAGGGUGCAAGCGUUACUCGGAAUCACUGGGCGUAAAGCGCGCGCAGGCGGCUAUUUAAGUUGGAUGUGAAAGCCUACGGCUCAACCGUAGAACUGCAUCCAAAACUAUUUAGCUAGGGUGUGGGAGAGGAAGAUGGAAUUAGUUGUGUAGGGGUAAAAUCCGUAGAGAUAACUAGGAAUACCAAAAGCGAAGGCAAUCUUCUGGAACACUACUGACGCUGAGGCGCGAAAGCGUGGGGAGCAAACAGGAUUAGAAACCCUAGUAGUCC
Molecule: ribosomal RNA, 274 nt
Filed under: uncultured bacterium
Lineage: Bacteria
Description: partial 16S ribosomal RNA
Rfam family: Bacterial small subunit ribosomal RNA
Source: RNAcentral